GGGUUGUGAGGUUAAGCGACUAAGCGUACACGGUGGAUGCCCUGGCAGUCAGAGGCGAUGAAGGACGUGCUAAUCUGCGAAAAGCGUCGGUAAGGUGAUAUGAACCGUUAUAACCGGCGAUGUCCGAAUGGGGAAACCCAGUGCAAUUCGUUGCACUAUCGUUAACUGAAUACAUAGGUUAACGAGGCGAACCGGGGGAACUGAAACAUCUAAGUACCCCGAGGAAAAGAAAUCAACCGAGAUUCCCCCAGUAGCGGCGAGCGAACGGGGAGCAGCCCAGAGUCUGAAUCAGCUUGUGUGUUAGUGGAACGGUCUGGAAAGUCCGACGGUACAGGGUGAUAGUCCCGUACACCAAAAUGCACAGGCUGUGAACUCGAAGAGUAGGGCGGGACACGUGGUAUCCUGUCUGAAUAUGGGGGGACCAUCCUCCAAGGCUAAAUACUCCUGACUGACCGAUAGUGAACCAGUACCGUGAGGGAAAGGCGAAAAGAACCCCGGCGAGGGGAGUGAAAAAGAACCUGAAACCGUGUACGUACAAGCAGUGGGAGCACCUUCGGGUGUGACUGCGUACCUUUUGUAUAAUGGGUCAGCGACUUAUAUUCUGUAGCAAGGUUAACCGUAUAGGGGAGCCGCAGGGAAACCGAGUCUUAACUGGGCGUUAAGUUGCAGGGUAUAGACCCGAAACCCGGUGAUCUAGCCAUGGGCAGGUUGAAGGUUGGGUAACACUAACUGGAGGACCGAACCGACUAAUGUUGAAAAAUUAGCGGAUGACUUGUGGCUGGGGGUGAAAGGCCAAUCAAACCGGGAGAUAGCUGGUUCUCCCCGAAAGCUAUUUAGGUAGCGCCUCGUGAAUUCAUCUUCGGGGGUAGAGCACUGUUUCGGCUAGGGGGUCAUCCCGACUUACCAACCCGAUGCAAACUACGAAUACCGAAGAAUGUUAUCACGGGAGACACACGGCGGGUGCUAACGUCCGUCGUGAAGAGGGAAACAACCCAGACCGCCAGCUAAGGUCCCAAAGUCAUGGUUAAGUGGGAAACGAUGUGGGAAGGCACAGACAGCCAGGAUGUUGGCUUAGAAGCAGCCAUCAUUUAAAGAAAGCGUAAUAGCUCACUGGUCGAGUCGGCCUGCGCGGAAGAUGUAACGGGGCUAAACCAUGCACCGAAGCUGCGGCAGCGACACUAUGUGUUGUUGGGUAGGGGAGCGUUCUGUAAGCCUGCGAAGGUGUGCUGUGAGGCAUGCUGGAGGUAUCAGAAGUGCGAAUGCUGACAUAAGUAACGAUAAAGCGGGUGAAAAGCCCGCUCGCCGGAAGACCAAGGGUUCCUGUCCAACGUUAAUCGGGGCAGGGUGAGUCGGCCCCUAAGGCGAGGCCGAAAGGCGUAGUCGAUGGGAAACAGGUUAAUAUUCCUGUACUUGGUGUUACUGCGAAGGGGGGGACGGAGAAGGCUAUGUUAGCCGGGCGACGGUUGUCCCGGUUUAAGCAUGUAGGCUGGUUGUCCAGGCAAAUCCGGAUAAUCAAGGCUGAGGUGUGAUGACGAGGCACUACGGUGCUGAAGUAACAAAUGCCCUGCUUCCAGGAAAAGCCUCUAAGCAUCAGGUAACAUCAAAUCGUACCCCAAACCGACACAGGUGGUCAGGUAGAGAAUACCAAGGCGCUUGAGAGAACUCGGGUGAAGGAACUAGGCAAAAUGGUGCCGUAACUUCGGGAGAAGGCACGCUGGUGUGUAGGUGAAGUCCCUGCGGAUGGAGCUGAGACCAGUCGAAGAUACCAGCUGGCUGCAACUGUUUAUUAAAAACACAGCACUGUGCAAACACGAAAGUGGACGUAUACGGUGUGACGCCUGCCCGGUGCCGGAAGGUUAAUUGAUGGGGUUAUCCGUAAGGAGAAGCUCUUGAUCGAAGCCCCGGUAAACGGCGGCCGUAACUAUAACGGUCCUAAGGUAGCGAAAUUCCUUGUCGGGUAAGUUCCGACCUGCACGAAUGGCGUAAUGAUGGCCAGGCUGUCUCCACCCGAGACUCAGUGAAAUUGAACUCGCUGUGAAGAUGCAGUGUACCCGCGGCAAGACGGAAAGACCCCGUGAACCUUUACUAUAGCUUGACACUGAACAUUGAGCCUUGAUGUGUAGGAUAGGUGGGAGGCUUUGAAGCGUGGACGCCAGUCUGCGUGGAGCCAACCUUGAAAUACCACCCUUUAAUGUUUGAUGUUCUAACGUUGGCCCCUUACCGGGGUUGCGGACAGUGUCUGGUGGGUAGUUUGACUGGGGCGGUCUCCUCCCAAAGCGUAACGGAGGAGCACGAAGGUUAGCUAAUCCCUGGUCGGACAUCAGGAGGUUAGUGCAAUGGCAUAAGCUAGCUUGACUGCGAGCGUGACGGCGCGAGCAGGUGCGAAAAGCAGGUCAUAGUGAUCCGGUGGUUCUGAAUGGAAGGGCCAUCGCUCAACGGAUAAAAGGUACUCCGGGGAUAACAGGCUGAUACCGCCCAAGAGUUCAUAUCGACGGCGGUGUUUGGCACCUCGAUGUCGGCUCAUCACAUCCUGGGGCUGAAGUAGGUCCCAAGGGUAUGGCUGUUCGCCAUUUAAAGUGGUACGCGAGCUGGGUUUAGAACGUCGUGAGACAGUUCGGUCCCUAUCUGCCGUGGGCGCUGGAGAAUUGAGGGGGGCUGCUCCUAGUACGAGAGGACCGGAGUGGACGCAUCACUGGUGUUCGGGUUGUCAUGCCAAUGGCACUGCCCGGUAGCUAAAUGCGGAAGAGAUAAGUGCUGAAAGCAUCUAAGCACGAAACUUGCCCCGAGAUGAGUUCUCCCUGAGACUUUAAGUCUCCUGAAGGAACGUUGAAGACGACGACGUUGAUAGGCCGGGUGUGUAAGCGCAGCGAUGCGUUGAGCUAACCGGUACUAAUGAACCGUGAGGCUUAACCUUACAACGCCGAAG
This 2926-nucleotide ribosomal RNA is filed under the name Klebsiella pneumoniae. RNAcentral describes it as "23S ribosomal RNA". It matches the Rfam family "Bacterial large subunit ribosomal RNA". Lineage: Bacteria; Pseudomonadati; Pseudomonadota; Gammaproteobacteria; Enterobacterales; Enterobacteriaceae. The record is from RNAcentral.